UACGGGAGAAGCUAGUGUUACUCGUCGUAAUGGGCGUAAAGGGAGCGUAGAUGCUUUGUAAGUGCUUAGUUAAAGACUGGUAGUUAACGCCUUAAAAGCUUAGUAGACUGCAAAGCUAGAGUUCUAAACAAGAUAACGGAUCACUGUGGAGACGUGAAAUGCUACGAUACAGUGUGGACGACAUUGCGAAGGCAGUUAUCAGUUAGAAUACUGACAUUGAGGCUCUAGAGCUGGGGAGCAAAAAGG
This 246-nucleotide unclassified non-coding RNA is filed under the name uncultured bacterium. Its description in RNAcentral is "contains 16S-23S intergenic spacer region". It matches the Rfam family "Bacterial small subunit ribosomal RNA", at positions 524 to 776 of the family's 1533-position model. The record is from RNAcentral.